This 459-nucleotide ribosomal RNA is filed under the name uncultured bacterium. Its description in RNAcentral is "partial 16S ribosomal RNA". It matches the Rfam family "Bacterial small subunit ribosomal RNA", at positions 338 to 795 of the family's 1533-position model. The record is from RNAcentral.
CCUACGGGAGGCAGCAGUGAGGAAUAUUGGUCAAUGGGCGAAAGCCUGAACCAGCCAAGUCGCGUGAGCGACGACGGUCCUAUGGAUUGUAAACCUCGUUUGUCGGGGAACAAAGGCGCACACGGGUGGGCGUGUGAGUGUACCCGACGAAAACACAUCGGCUAACUCCGUUCCAGCAGCCGCGGUAAUACGGAGGAUGCAAGCGUUAUCCGGAUUUAUUGGGUUUAAAGGGUACGGAGGCGGAUAGUCAAGUCAGCGGUAAAAAUGCGGUGCUCAACGCCGUACAGCCUUUGAUACUAGCAGUCUUGAGUGGGCGAGAGGUAGGCGGAAUGCGGGGUGUAGCGGUGAAAUGCAUAGAUAUCACGCAGAACUCCGAUUGCGAAGGCAGCAUACCGGCGCCCUACUGACGCUGAGGCACGAAAGCGUGGGUAUCGAACAGGAUUAGAUACCCGUGUAGUC